AGUGAACGCUGGCGGUAGGCCUAACACAUGCAAGUCGAACGGCAGCACAGUAAGAGCUUGCUCUUACGGGUGGCGAGUGGCGGACGGGUGAGGAAUAAAUCGGAAUCUACUUUUUCGUGGGGGAUAACGUAGGGAAACUUACGCUAAUACCGCAUACGACCUACGGGUGAAAGCAGGGGAUCUUCGGACCUUGCGCGAUUGAAUGAGCCGAUGUCGGAUUAGCUAGUUGGCGGGGUAAAGGCCCACCAAGGCGACGAUCCGUAGCUGGUCUUAGAGGAUGAUCAGCCACACUGGAACUGAGACACGGUCCAGACUCCUACGGGAGGCAGCAGUGGGGAAUAUUGGACAAGGGGCGCAAGCCUGAUCCAGCCAUACCGCGUGGGUGAAGAAGGCCUUCGGGUUGUAAAGCCCUUUUGUUGGGAAAGAAAAGCAGCAGGUUAAUACCCCGCUGUUCUGACGGUACCCAAAGAAUAAGCACCGGCUAACUUCGU
RNAcentral lists this ribosomal RNA (491 nucleotides) under uncultured bacterium. RNAcentral's name for it is "partial 16S ribosomal RNA". It matches the Rfam family "Bacterial small subunit ribosomal RNA", at positions 29 to 506 of the family's 1533-position model. The record is from RNAcentral.